UUGCUUCAUUUUUUGUGUUUUUUCAUUAUGACUUCAUCGCUGUGAGCAAGAGUUUCGAAAUACAUCGACCGGCCGCGGUCGCGCCUCGCUUGGUCCCUCCGACAGCGUUCAACGGUUGUUACACCGCACAACACCACCUCGAAACCGCCCGACGGCGCGACACCUCGACCGAAGUGAUCCAAAGGCGGACGGCGCGCGCACGUGUCUUACCACGCCCGCGCAUCCCUCCGCCCUUCGCAUGACAAAAGGGCGGGUAUCCGGCGCCGAAGCGCCAAAUGACCUCAGUAAUGAUCCUUCCGCAGGUUCACCUACGGAAA
RNAcentral lists this unclassified non-coding RNA (317 nucleotides) under uncultured fungus. Its description in RNAcentral is "sequence contains ITS1". Lineage: Eukaryota; Fungi. The record is from RNAcentral.